AUUGAACGCUGGCGGCAGGCUUAACACAUGCAAGUCGAGCGGGGUGAUGGUGCUUGCACUAUCACUUAGCGGCGGACGGGUGAGUAAUGCUUAGGAAUCUGCCUAUUAGUGGGGGACAACAUCUCGAAAGGGAUGCUGAUACCGCAUACGUCCUACGGGAGAAAGCAGGGGAUCACUUGUGACCUUGCGCUAAUAGAUGAGCCUAAGUCGGAUUGGCUAGUUGGUGGGGUAAAGGCCUACCAAGGCGACGAUCUGUAGCGGGGCUGAGAGGAACGUCCGACACACUGGGACUGAGACACGGCCCAGACUCCUACGGGAGGUAGCAGUGGGGAAUAUUGGACAAUGGGGGGAACCCUGAUCCAGCCAUGCCGCGUGUGUGAAGAAGGCCUUAUGGUUGUAAAGCACUUUAAGCGAGGAGGAGGCUCUCUUGGUUAAUACCCAAGAUGAGUGGACGUUACUCGCAGAAUAAGCACCGGCUAACUCUGUGCCAGCCGCCGCAGUAA
This 503-nucleotide ribosomal RNA is filed under the name uncultured bacterium. Its description in RNAcentral is "partial 16S ribosomal RNA". It matches the Rfam family "Bacterial small subunit ribosomal RNA", at positions 30 to 523 of the family's 1533-position model. The record is from RNAcentral.